UACGUAGGCAGCGAGCGUUGUUCGGAGUUACUGGGCGUAAAGGGUGUGUAGGCGGUUGUUUAAGUUUGGGGUGAAAUCUCCCGGCUCAACUGGGAGGGUGCGCCGAAUACUGAGCGACUAGAGUGCGGGAGAGGAAAGUGGAAUUCCUGGUGUAGCGGUGAAAUGCGUAGAUAUCUGGAGGAACACCGGUGGCGAAGGCGGCAUCCUGGACCGGCAUUGACGCUGAGGCGCGAAAGCCAGGGGAGCAAACGGG
RNAcentral lists this ribosomal RNA (253 nucleotides) under uncultured bacterium. RNAcentral's name for it is "partial 16S ribosomal RNA". It matches the Rfam family "Bacterial small subunit ribosomal RNA", at positions 524 to 776 of the family's 1533-position model. The record is from RNAcentral.